This is a non-coding RNA of Stegodyphus mimosarum, 73 nucleotides long. The record is from Rfam. Lineage: Eukaryota; Metazoa; Arthropoda; Arachnida; Araneae; Eresidae.
CUCUUCGUGGUGUAGUGGUCAGCGCUCUCGGUGCAUGUUCGAGAGAUCCGUGGUUCGAGUCCCGGCGAGGGCA